AUGGCCGGUGCUAGCCAUGUCGUGGUUUUCCUUGUCUUCUCAAAUUUGGCCAUAGCCAUGGGCGCCACCCCUCCUAUCUUAAAUCCUUACGUAGGGAAGUGUAAGAGUAGUUGUGAGGAAGAGCUCAAUAUAUCUUUGUACCUGCACCAAGUAUUCGCUGGAGCAGCCCGCAACCAAGAAGUAAUUCUCAGUCCCGGCUUUCCUAACUCGUUUGGGGUGAUAGCAGUUAAUGACUGGACUAUGCAUGCCACCGCUAAUUCCACUGCAAGUAUCAUUGCUCGGGCAAAGGGAAUGCAUAUCCAGGCUACCCAAAGCCAGGCCAAUGGCUUUGCUUGGUUUGUUCCUUUCAGCAUGGUCUUUGAGGACUCCAGCUUUGGUGGGUCUACAUUACAAGUGAUGGGGGCAAUUAGUGGUGCAAAUGGUGAGUGGGCUAUCGUGGGAGGGACAGGAAAACUGUCGAUGGCGCGUGGUACCGUAAACUUCACAGAAGUCCAGCCACAGAGCAACCCAAACAGUGAGAACUACAGAAAAAUUGAUAUCCAUGCAUUCUACACACCAUCGCCGGCCGUUUAA
RNAcentral lists this ribosomal RNA (573 nucleotides) under Triticum aestivum (bread wheat). RNAcentral's name for it is "partial small subunit ribosomal RNA". Lineage: Eukaryota; Viridiplantae; Streptophyta; Magnoliopsida; Poales; Poaceae. The record is from RNAcentral.